AUUGAACGCUGGCGGCAGGCCUAACCCAUGCAAGUCGAACGAGUGGCGGACGGGUGAGUAAUGUCUGGGAAACUGCCUGAUGGAGGGGGAUAACUACUGGAAACGGUAGCUAAUACCGCAUACAAUCAGAUGUGCCCAGAUGGGAUUAGCUUGUUGGUGGGGUAACGGCUCACCAAGGCGCCGAUCCCUAUCUGGUCUGAGAGGAUGACCAUCCACACGGGAACUGAGACACGGUCCAGACUCUUACGGGUGGCAGAAGUGGGGAAUAUUGCACAAUGGGCGCAAGUCUGAUGCAGCCAUGCCGCGUGUAUGAAGAAGGCCUUCGGGUUGUAAAGUACUUUCAGCGGGGAGGCGUUACCCGCAGAAGAAGCACCGGCUAAAUCCGUGCCAGCCGCCGCGGUAAUUC
RNAcentral lists this ribosomal RNA (406 nucleotides) under uncultured bacterium. RNAcentral describes it as "partial 16S ribosomal RNA". It matches the Rfam family "Bacterial small subunit ribosomal RNA", at positions 30 to 526 of the family's 1533-position model. The record is from RNAcentral.